UUUAUCAAGAGCAGCCGAGUGAACAGGCACGUUGAAGCUGCAGCAACCUGCAAUAUGUAAGGUGCUAAUACCUGCGGCUGAGCCGAAUGAUGAG
RNAcentral lists this non-coding RNA (94 nucleotides) under uncultured Eubacterium sp. Its description in RNAcentral is "SAM riboswitch (S box leader)". It matches the Rfam family "SAM riboswitch aptamer (S box leader)". Rfam says of the family: The SAM riboswitch is found upstream of a number of genes which code for proteins involved in methionine or cysteine biosynthesis in Gram-positive bacteria. The SAM riboswitch acts at the level of transcription termination control. The predicted structure consists of a complex stem-loop region followed by a single stem loop terminator region. Lineage: Bacteria; Bacillati; Bacillota; Clostridia; Eubacteriales; Eubacteriaceae. The record is from RNAcentral.